This 117-nucleotide ribosomal RNA is filed under the name Deltaproteobacteria bacterium CG11_big_fil_rev_8_21_14_0_20_47_16. The record is from RNAcentral. Lineage: Bacteria; Deltaproteobacteria.
UCCGGUGACCAUAGCGAGGGGGUCACACCCGUUCCCAUCCCGAACACGGCCGUUAAGCCCCUCAGCGGCGAUGGUACUACACAUUAUCAUGUGUGGGAGAGUAGCACGUUGCCGGAU